AGCCUCUCAUAGCGCCUGCUACAUGGGAGGUUAGCUGUGAAUGAAAGUCUCUCUUUGCUUUUGCAGAAGACUUGGCUAGAGUUGGGGCAAGAAAAAUGGUGCUGGGGUUUUGACAUGCUCUGUAAACACACAUGUUCAGAGCAAGGCUUAUGGCCAGAAAUGAAUGAAAUUCAUAAUGAAGGUAUUCUGAGGAAAUAUGAUCUUACUCUCAAAGUCUCAACAAUACCCUGGGUGAUAACAACUGGCUCUCAAGGAACAAGAUAGCUCCCAAGCAACUCCAGUGCCCAGGAAAGAUGGUGAAGAGAUCUUUGCAGACAAUCUAUCAGUUACUGGGGCAGAAAAAUCAUUGUGACUAGUCAUCUUCAUACGAUAGCUUAAACCAACAGACUGAGAAUUUAUAGUGUAGCGAAGGGCAGUCUAAUGCAGUAGUUACUUGGAUCCACUCUUGCUGUUUUGUGACCCUGGGCAAUCCAGUUAACCUCCCCCAUAUAUUAGCUUUCUAAUGUAUAAAAUGGAGAUGACAAUGGUAUCUACCUCAUUGAAUGGUGCAAAUUAAGCAAAUUCAUGAAUGUAAGAUGCUUAGAGGACAUCCGACACAUGAGUGCAGGACAAAUGUUGGCUUUUAUUCAAUUCUAGGUCCACAAACAAAACUUUACAAAAUAAAGAGGUUUUUGUUGUUUUUCUUUUCUCUCUCUCUCUCUCUCUUUUUUUUUUUUUUUUCAUCAUCUCAAGAAAUCAAAGGCAUGCACCUGGAAAAAGAAAACACACUUUUGAAGUCUUCUAAUCACUAGGGCUCUGUAUUUUGUUGCAGUCCUAUAGUGUGGGUAUUUAAAGAAUAAGGCCAGGCAACUCUGUCUCUAGUCUUUGUUCAUUCAUUUGAUGCGUCCUUGAGCACCUUACUAAGCACCAGUCAAUGUUGUGGACAAUGGGGAUAUAGCAUGAUGAAGCCAGAAAGGAUACUGCCAAAAAGGCAUACAUUAAACUCAUAAUUACACCCAAAUUUACCAAAUACAGGAUCCUUCUUUGCUACCACAAAAUUCUUAAUGGCUUUAAGUCUCAACUUUCUCAUCUGUAAACUAAGGGCAAUAACAGCUGCUCCUUCUGUAUGUUGCUGUGAGAGGAAAUAAAAUCGUCUUUAUAACAAAACUUUGUGAGAGCUGAAAAAGUGUUUGAAUAAAUGCAUUCAUGAUAUUAACACUUCCAUUUGGCUGCUGAGAUAGGUUCACUUAGAAGUAUUCAUAAAUCUAUCAAGGUAGGGAAUGAAUCAUGAAUCACGUCACAGAGCUUAGGUGGAAACUUAUUCCGUGACUACGAUUCCUCUUAGGUGUACUGAACAUAAGCUCUCCUAAAAACAAAGCCUGUACAUAAAAAUUAAAUUUAGUAUAAGCAAUUUGAAAACUGAAGAAAAGAAAUGUUCACCCUUUUCUGAGAUAUUUAUUUUAUCCUCAGAGAAAGAAUGAAAUAAAAUGCAAUGUCUUUUGCCACUCUCCUCAUAAAUUCUGUCUGUCUAAAUUCCUAGACACAACAAUGACAGAAUUCAUGUAAAUAUACCUAACCUGAGAGGUCAGAUUUGGGGACCUCAUGGAGUGGUGCAUGGGAGUCUGCCCAGCUGCUGACCACACUCAGUGAGUGUAUGAAACCAAAUAUCCAUCCAUGACCGGUCAACAUGGAAACCCUCAUUGAAGAAAUAACUACUUUGCUAAAGGAGCAGGUUAUUUCAAGUAUUUCAUUGAUUUCAGCUCUCAAGUAUUCAACAAUUUUUAAUUUUAAAACAAAUUUAAAUUUAAAAAUAAUUUAAUAAAUUAAUAUUUUGAAAGAGAAUGCUCCCAGCUUGCAUAUGAAAUUUCAGUUUUCCUUAUUUCAGAGGGCACACCUUUCCUUAGUAGAAAUGUAGUGUUAACCACAGCUUAUAAAGUACAUGUUUUAGAUUUGUUUCAAAGCUAGUAUUUUAAUAAAAUAUAUAAUAUAAAAUAACUAAUAUAACACUGAAAUAAAUUACAUCCAUCUUCCUACAAAGUAGUUUAUAGCUUAAUGUGAAAUAUCUCUCUCCCCAAUUCCCACUUUAAAUAUUGAAAUUGCUUGCACAUGCUCAGUGCUUCACAUUCUUACCUCUUAGUAGUUAGUACUUAGCUGUUGUUUAUUAUAAAAAAACAAAAUCACCAAAUAGCUGUCUUGAUUUUUUUUUGCAUUUCAAAGUCAGCUAAUUAAUUUCCAAUAAAUAAAACAGUGAAAGCCUAGUAAUAGAGCACAGAUUUUCCUACUUUUAAGUAAAUUUCUUGCUUUUCAUUGCACUGAAAUAUUAUUUUAUCCAACUGCUUUGUCCACCCUGGCAAUCAGUAUAACUAGAGUGAUAUUAUUUCCCUGUUUGAUUUUAUACAAUGGUAGGCCAUUGGAUCAAGUGUUCUGUGACCUGUUUAUCGUUGCUUAUUCCUGGAUAGAAUUCAGUAGAGAAAAUUCAGAAACUAUAAUGAUGGACUUACAUCAAACUAUUGCACUCAAACUAUUUAGGAAACUGUCUGAAGUCUGAGAGUGUAGUUCAUUAUUUGUGCUUGUCUCACAAGGGCACAAUAUUCUAUGUCAUUUUUUAUAUCAUAGAAAAGGUUAGGUUUGAAAACUUAGCAUUACAAAUGUCACAUUUACUUCCAGUAGGAAAUGUGCAACAAUAUGUGACAAAACUGAAUAAAAUGUUGAAACAUGUUUUCCUUUUGUUUUACUUUACUCAUUUUUGUAAUACAACACUGGUUACUGGAAAAUGCCUUACAGCUUUAUUCAAAACACAUGUUCAAAGAUUUGAAUGAAAAAACUUCGACUCUCUCUGGAACAUCUAACCGAUACAUCAUUUGUGUGCCUUAAAUUUUUUCUUACUGUCAGGAACACUUUUAUGUCUUUAAGAUUUAUUUAAACUAGGUUAUUAUAUAAUGAAGCUUGUCAGAUCAUAGGAACAAAGUCAAACAAGAUGUGCUAUAUCAAAGUAUAACAUUUAACAUAUAGAUUUAAGUAUACAUAUCAAGUACAACGCAAUCAAGCAAAGUUUAAUCUGAAAAUGCAAAUGCUUCAGAUUAUUAAAGCCACAUCUGUCCUUUGAAGCACAAUUUAGAUUGUUUAUCAAAAAGCUAUGUGUAAUUAUUCUCUCCCACCCUAGACUUUGUAACAACAGAUUUCUUAAGAACAUUUCAAUUUCACUUCAGAGUUGGGAUUUUAAAUACUUAACCACCAAAGGACACGAGAACACAAACGGAAAAUUAAAAAUCUUUACAAUGUAUUCUAUUAUAAUUGCUGUUUUGUUGGUGAAUCAGGGUAAUAUUUCAAAAAGCAUUACUCCGAGUUUUAGGAAGAAAUUCCCAAUGCUUUUAGAAAUCAAUUCCACAUAGUUCUAGCAUCAAAAAUGUGUCCUUAAACAUAUUAUUACAAUUUUUCAUAUAAAGCUUUAUAUUACAUUUCACUCUCUGCCUUGGCCAACAGGAAACAUCAAAGGCAACAUUUUAGGUAGUAAAGAGAAAUUCCAAAACACUAGGGACAGAGCUUUGAAUUUUAAGUACUUGAAGUUCCCAGGCCUUAAAUUUAUAUAAAAAAUAAGUAAGUCUGUUGUAUUCUCUUAUGUACGUUCAUUGACCUAUAAAAUUCUCUUAAAUACACCCAUUGGUCUAUCCAUUGAAAAGAUACAUAUACUGUCCUAGGUAAUAUUAUUAAGUCUGAACACUUGAGAAGGAACUGAAUCACUGCACUAUUAUCCUAGAGCAGACCUAAUUUCUGUGCAAAAGUAUGAUCUUUCAUUUUAUCCAUAAGAACUGAAUAUGACAGAAAUGCUGGGCUCUCAUUUACAAAAUCCACUUAAAUAUGAGGGCUCAUUUUAGCUUAUAACAGCUCACAUCUAUUAUAAUCUCAGAAAGCAGCAAUAACUUGUAAAAUUAAUUGGAGUCUCUGUUAUCUAUAGGAAAAUUUAAAAUUAAAUAUGUAUUUUAAAAAACAAUAAAAGAGAGGCUUAUUGAACUUGAAAGUAGAGAUUCACUGCUUGUCAAUCUAGAUCAUGAAGGAUUCCUGUACAAAUGCAGGUAGUAACAAGGUCACGGUAGCUCAAACUCUGCUUGUGCAUUCAAAUUCAAUCCAGAAACCUCCAACUGCUAAAACCAUAAACGUUCUAUAUAUUAUCGCCUCAAUAUUUUACAUUUAAUGUAUCAAUUAUAAUCCGGCUUCAGUAAUCAACAUGGGAGAGAAGGAAAGUGGUGGCUAAAAAAACUUCAGCUUAACUUAAAACAAUUUUUUCAAAUGGAUUAACUCAUUCCUCUCUGAUGCCAUAGGCGAAGCAAACAAAAAACUGGAUGAUAGCACUAAUUAUAUAUUUUUUAAAGAAACUGGUAUCAACAGUUUGACUGAAAGGUUAAAGGGGAAACAUAAUUCUAUAAUAUCAUAAACUCUGUCAUAGCAUAUUCAGAAAAGGAAAUUGUUGACAAAUGUAAUUGAGGCAAGUGCUUUAUUUCCUUUCCCUAAAUGUAGAGAGAGCUUGAUUGUAUUUCUGAAACUUUAAUGCAAACUCUACAGUAAAGUGAAGAAGGGCUUGGAAUGAAACACAGUAUAGUUUCUCCAUGAGAAACAAUUAGUAUGCCGAAGAGCUUAUGUCGAAGGAAACUUCUGAAAUCACAAAGCCCAUUAAGACACAAACUGGCUGUGGAUCUAGAAAUACUAGGGAUUUCAGGGUAAGGAGGGAGCAGGAUAAAAGAGAAGGGGGGCGGGGCAAAGAGCUCAAUUAACACACAGCCAUUUGAGUAGGGACUGCUCUUUUCAUGUCCCUCCCAUUUUACAAAUGCCCAGAGGCAUUUCUGCAGUGGAACACCUUUGCAAAUUCUAAAAAUAAAGCAAUAAACUUUAACUCCUCAACUUUCAUAAUAUUUUGACAGAUUCUCCCAACUUUAAUUUCCUUUUUGUAAUGGUAGUGUGAUUUGCAUUAUGUUACAUUGCUUCAUUUUGCCAUUAAAAAAAAAAAGUUAAUCUCAAGAGAACUGCUCUGGAAAUUAUGCGCUACUUUAAUAGACAUCCCCUCAGAAUGGAAUAAAAAUAAUUUUCUCUUUGUAAUCUUAUCCUGUAAUGGUUGGUACGAUCUCACCAUAGGCCUGUUUUGGAAGCAAGGUUUGAAUUUUCUUAAAGAAAUUUUGAAUGUUAUUCUUAGAACAGCUUCUUGUUUCUCACAAAAAUCAUUUAUGUAAAGGGAAGGAGCACACUGAUUUAUUUAAAAUUUGGGGAAAUUGCGAACCAAAAAAAAAAUGCAUUCCAAUUUACAAGUUACUUGAUUCUGUCAUAUGAAGUGGCAGUGUCCUUUUCCUUUCCUGCUUAAAAAAGCAGCUCUGGCCUGUGGAAGGCAAGUGGCAAAUGUAAGCUUUAUGGCAAAACCCACUCAAUGAUUUAAAAAUGCUCCAGGAACACUGUGUUGGAAAGAAAUCAGUGGUACUGAGGUGUGAAUGGAGGAUGCUCUUUAAAGGAAGCAAUUUGACCUUUUGUUAAAAAAAAAAAAAAAGUCAGUAUCUCUAUUUUGCCUUUUGUACCCAAAUAAAGCUCAUUUAUUCUGAACUUUUCUGUGAUUUGAAUUUCUACCUAUUAGGCUUUCCUAUAUUGCGAUAUGAGUGUCCAGGAGCCAGGACAGAGAAUAAGACACAUUUUUUAAAAAGGGAUAGGCUAGAAGGAUAGCACUGGAAAUGACAUUAACAGACAUAAGGGGAAUAACAUGGAAUGUGAUAGCUAGCAAGCUAUAAAGUCACUAAGGGGGAUGAGACUGACGUUCAAUAGGAUAAGAAAGCAGUCCUGAACAUAAAAUUUCUUAUCACUACUCUUAGCUCACUGUGUAAAUAACCCCACACUUCUAGUACACCUCAAACUUCUCUGCUAUCUAAGGAAGGAGUAUAAUCAUUUCUCCCCAGGUUGAUCAUAACCUGAGCUUCUUCCUAUGACUGCAAGAAAAUCUCCAUAACCUUGGGCACAACAGAGAUGUUACCCAAGAGUAGUCCUGCUGUACGACAUCAAUUAGAAUGACUGAGGCAGCCUCCUCCACAGCCUUUGUUUUCUAGAUUUUUCGUGCCUACAGAAAUUCCCCAUGAAGAUUCCACUAUUCCACACUUCACUGAUAAGGAAUGACAAACUAGAGCACUGCUUUUGUUUCUGAGUUUCAAUUUCCGAAAUACGAAUAGCAUAGUAAUGUAUGUAACUGUAACUCAUCAAGUUCUAUAUAUUUUUUAAUUCAUAUUUUUAAAUAGUGAAUUUUCAAUUAUCUUCAAAGGAUCAUAUGCCCUACAGUUUAUUUCUGACAAAUCAUCUGUUUUAUUAUUUCUGACAUCCUUACCUAUUCUGCUUAAUUAAAUGAUUUAUUUACAUAAACGGGAUAUUUGCUUAAUCUAAUCCAGGAUUUUAAGAGGGAGAAAUGCUUUAGGAAUAAAAAUAAUUUCCCUUGCAUAUAUGAACAAACAAAUAGUACUUCUGUGUGAAGGUUGAUAAAAAUUAACUCCCAGAAUAAAGUGGAAGCAAAACUGAUGAGAGGGACAGGAUGGAAAAAGUAGGCAGUUUCCAGCCUUUUGUGAGUCACAUAUUAACUCUGUGGUUACCGUGUCUCAAGAAUUUUCAGGUUACAGAUACUCUCCAAUGAACAAUUAAAACCCUUGCCAAAGCCAAAUGUAAACGACUUUGAAAAAAGUUUUAUACUCCUCAAUGGCAGACACACACACAAAAAACCUGAAGAGUAGAACAGAGUGACUAAUUCACCAGCACAGCAUUUCGAGAAACAAGUGAACUGCUUGUUAUACUGAUGUUUUCUCCAAUCCUCCACAAAGCAUAUAUGCACACAGGAAGCAAUUAUAAGCUACAGAACUCAUAAUACAUUUUGAAAAAGGGAUAUACAUAGUACAUUACUUGUUUGCCUAAAAGCCAUCAGAAUUUAAGGCCAGGCAUGGUGGCUCACUCCUGUAAUCCCCACACUUUGGGGAACUGAGGACAAGAGAUCAUAUGAGGCCAGGAGUUUGAGACCAGUCUGGGCAACAUAGAUAAACCCCUGUCUCUACAAAACUAAUUUAAAAAUAUCCAGGCAUGGUGGUACACACCUGUGGUACCAGCUACUUCGUAGGCUCAACCAGAGGAUUGCUUGAGCCUGGGAGGUUGAGGCUGCAGUAAGCCAUUAUCUUGUCACUGCAUUCCAGUCUGGGUGACAGAGUAAGACCCUGUCUCAAAACAAAAACAAAAACAAAAACAUACACACACACAUGCUGAACCAAACAAAACUCCCAAUUGACAAGAUGAAACAGUGUGAAGUGGCCUAAGAUUCUUAUUCACAGUUGCAUAACAGGCUCCUUGAUCUGCAAUAUGUUUGGCAGCAAUAGCAUGAACAGAUACUGUGCAAGUUACAAAUUAACUAGAACAUCAUUAACUGGUGCUAAGAAGACAGAACCUGGUGUUAUCUUUAGUAAAUGGGUAAAUAAGGAAUUUUUUUUUGAGCUAUGGCUUUGCCAUAAUGCCACAAUGAAUGAGCCACAAUCAUAUAAUUGCUUCUUCUCAAAGAAUAUUCAAUGGGCUACAGUCAGGUUUUUUUGUUUUUGUUUUUUUUGAGAUGGAGUCUGGCUCUGUCACCCAGGCUCGAGUGCAGUGGCGUGAUCCCAGCUCACUGCAACUUCCACCUCCCGGGUUCAAGUGAUUCUCCUGCCUCAGCCUCCCAAGUAGCUGGAAGCUCCCAAGUAGCUUCCACCAGAUACCCUAAAUCAGGCUUCCGCCACCAAACCUGGCUAAUUUUUGUAUUUUUAGUAGAGACGGGGUUUCACCAUGUUGGCCAGGCUGGUCUUGAACUCCUGAACUCAGGUGAUCUGCCCACUUUAGCCUCCCAAAGUGCUGGGAUUACAAGGGUGAGCCACCGUGCCCAGCCUGGUUUGUUUUUUUAAAACCAACCACUAUGCCAUAUCAAUGCUACCCAUUGACUACAGUCCAGCUUGUUUGAAAGUGUCUGGAAAAGUAAAUCUCUCAAUUAAUUUCAUAAAAGGCUAUUACUGAAAUCAGCAUGAAUAUUUCCAUGUCCAGCCUUGGAUAUGCUUUGGUCUUUGACAGCUUGACUAUCUCUAUGAUUGGGCAACAAGGACAGGGUUUUAAAGGACAAUGUCUUUUUACUCUUUGCUUCUCUAGCCACAAGGAAUACUAACUUCAAGAACUUCCUAAGCACUUCUCUUUGAUGCAUUUGCCUUUUUUAUUGUUUUAGCAGAAUUAUUAGCCUUUCUACUCUCAGGGUAGAACAUUCUAUGAAUCAGAGGACUUCAAUCAUACUUGCUUUAUACUUAAUGUCCUUUCUAGUCUUUGACUAAGACAUUGAAAUAAGAAAUAAUGCAAUGCACAAUCAAAAUAAUUCUAUGCAAGAUCUGAUAGCUAUCAGAAUUUGAAAAUAUGAAAUGCUGUUUGCUUAUCCUUGUAUUCCAUUUAUUUAAAACAUUUGGUGCAUGUUUUUACAUAUUAAGAACAUAAUUAUAUAUAUUAGCAUAUAAUUUCAUAAAAGAUCAUUGCCUAUCUUACCUUAUUGUUGCCUUAUUUGUGAAUGUUAUGUAUAUAACAGGAAUAACAAGUACUUGUGUAUCAUUAGAAUCAGACAUUAGUUUGGUUUAAAAAAUAAGUCCUUUUGUUUCAUCUGGUCAAUACAGUUUUAUUAAAGGCUAAUCAUUUAAGGUAUUUUAAUCUUAGCCGCAGAAAUGGAAGAAUCUUUCUAUAAAAUAUACCUGUAGCAGUAUAUAAUAUUUAAGAACAACAAAAGGUAAACAAAUGUAACCAAAUGGAUAAAGGGGGCUGCAAAAUUAAAGUUAGAAACUAACAUAUCAAUGAUUCAUAUUCUCUAUGCCACAAGACAUGAAAAAAACAUUAGUUUUUACUACUCUGUAUUCUGGGGACAUUCCUUUAAGAUUGCAUUUAAGAUGAUUUUAGAGACAAUAAGCAUUUCUUUAGAUGGAGUUGAUAUUUAGUUUCUAACUUUUCAGAGUUUAUUUCUAGGCAUAGAGUCUUUAACUGUGGGUAGCACUUAUCUGUACAACAUAGUGUUCUGCUUCUGUGAUUAACGCAAAUAUCACGUAAAGAUGGAGCUGAUGUGAGCCAGGGUCUAGAGCCCUCAAAGGCACUAAUGUAUUUGUUUGCAGAGUGUGAUGCAAUUUCAUGGGGAAUCAGGUCAAUCCAACUUUUCAGCACCUAUCUACCUCCUCCUCAGGCUGUAGGGUAUUGUAUUAGUCCAUUCUUGUGCUGCUAUACAGAAGCGCCUGAGAUUGGGUAAUUUAUAAAGAUCAGAGGUUUAAUUGACUCAAAGUUUCACAGGGCUGGGGAGGCCUCAAGAAACUUACAAUUGUGGAAGAAGGGGAAGCGAACAUAUCCUUCUUCACAUGAUGCCAGGAAGGAGAAGUGACAAGCAAAGAGGGAAAAGCCGCUUAUAAAGCCAUCAGAUAUCUUGUGAGAACUCACUUACUAUCAUGAGAACAGCAGCAUUGGGGUAACCGCCCCCAUGAUUCAAUUACCUCCCACUGGGUCCCUCCCAGGACAUGUGAAGAUUAUGGGAAGUAUAAUUCAAAAUGAGAUUUGGGCAGGGAUAUAGCCAUACCAUAUCAUUCUGCCCUGACCCCUCCCAAAUCUCAUGCCCUCACAUUUCAAAACACAAUCAUGACUUCCCAACAGUUCCCCAAUGUCUUAUCCAGCAUUAACCCAAAAGUCCAAGUCCAAAGUCUCAUCUGAAACAAGGCAAGUCCCUUCUGCCUACAAGCCUGUAAAAUCAAAAGCAAGCUAGUUACUUCCUAGAUACAAUGGAGGUGUAGCCAUUGGGUAUAUACACGUGUUCAAAAUGGAAGAAAUUGGCCAAAACAAAAUUACAGGCCCCAUGCAAGUCCGAAAUCCACUAGGGCAGCCAAAUAUCAAUGCUCUGAAAUGAUCUCUUUUGACUCCAUGUGUCACAAGUAGGUCAUGCUGAUGCAAGAGGUGGGCUCCCAUGGCCUUGGGCAGCUCCACCCCUGUGGUUUGCAGGGUACAGCUCUGCUCCCAGCUGCCUUCAUGGUCUGGCACUGAGUGUCUGCAGUUUUUCUAGGCAACUGGUGCAAGCUGUCAGUGGAUCUACCAUUCUGGGGUCUAGAGGACGAUGGCCUUUUUCUCACAGCUCCACUAGGCAGCCUCAUUGGGGAACUCUUUGUGGGGGGGCUCCUACCGCACAUUUCCCUUCUGCAUUGCCCUAGCAGAGGUUCUCAAUGAGGGCUCAACCACUGCAGAAAACAUGUGCCUGAACAUCCAUGCAUUUCCACACAUCCUCUGUAAUCUAGGCCAAUGUUCCCAAACCUCAAUUCUUGACUUCUGUGAACCUUCAGGCCCAACACCACGUGGAAGCCACCAAGUCUUGGGGCUUGCACCCUCUGAAGCAACAGCCUGAGCUCUAAGUUGGCCCCUUUAAGCCACAGCUGAAACACAGGUCAGCAAGUCUUGAGACUGCACAAAGCAGCAAGGCCCUGGGUCCAGCCCAGGAAACCAUUUUUUCUUCCUAGGCCUCUGGGCCUGUGAUGGAGGGGCUGCUGUGAAGGCCUCUGACAUACCCUGGAGACAUUUUCCCCAUUGUCUCAGCAAUUAAAAUUUGCCUCCUUGUUACUUAUGCAAAUUUCUGCAGGAGGCUUGAAUUUCCCCUCAGAAAAUUGGUUUUCCUUUUGUAUUGCAUUGUCAGGCUGCAAAUUUUCUGAACUUUUAUGCUCUCUUCCCUUUUAAACAUAAGUGCCAAUUCCAAACCAUGUCUUUGUGACUACAUAAAACUGAAUGCUUUUAACAACACCCAAGUCACCUCUUGAAUGCUUUGCUGCUUAGAAAUUUCUUCCACCAGAUACCCUAAAUCAUCUCUCUCAAGGUCAAAGUUCCACAGAUCUCUAGGGCUGGGGCAAAUGCCACCAGUCUCUUUGCUAAAACACAGCAAGAGUCACCCUUAUUCCAAUUCCCAACAAGUUCCUCAUCUCCAUCUGAGAUCAGCUAAGCCUGGACUUCAUUGUCCAUAUCACUAUCAGCAUGUUACUCAAAGCCAUUCAACAAGUCUCUAGGAAGUUCCAAAGUUUCCCACAUCUUCCUGUCUUCUGAGCCUUCCAAACUGUUCCAACCUCUGCCUGUUACCCAGUUCCAAAGUUUCUUCCACAUUUUUCAGUGUCUUUACAGCAGUGCCCCACUCUACUGGUACCAAUUUACUGUAUUAGUCCAUUCUCAUAUUGUUAUAAAGAACUGCCCAAGACUGGGCAAUUUAUAAAGGAAAGGGGAUUAAUUGACUCAUAGUUCCACAUGGCUGGGAAGGCCUUGGGAAACUUAUAAUCCUGGUGGAAGGGGAAGAAAACAUGUUCUUCUUCCCAUGAUGGCGGGAAGGAGAAGUGCCAAGCAAAGAGGGAAAUGCCCCUUAUAAAACUAUCAGAUCUCAUGAGAAUUCACUCACUAUCAUGAGAACAGCAGCAUGAGGGUAACCACUCCUAUGAUUCAAUUACCUCCCACCAGGUCCCUCCCAUGAGACUUGGGGAUUAUGGGAACUGCAAUUUAAGAUGAGAUUUGAGUGAGGACACAGCCAAACCAUAUCAGGCAUGCACUACACAUCAGUUUCCCUGUCAAAAAGCAGUUAUUAUUAUUUUUUCUCCAUGUUUUUUCAUAUAUUCAGAAGAGUAGGGAAGAAGAAACAAAAAGCAAAGCAUCCUUAAUUAAAGCAUUCAAGAUGAUAGCUGAUCUUUCACUUGUGUUGACCAAAUGGCUUAUGCUUAUUUCAAUCACUGCCAUCUAUCAGUCUUAAUUAGCAUCUAUCCAAUAAAACACUUCACUUCUGAAAUAUAUUAAUUACUGUUUUAUGUCUUUGGUUCCUAUUAUCCUAGCUGUACAACCACAACCAUAAAAACAUGGCAUUUUCCAGCACAAAGGGAUAGUAUAUGUUAUGUAUGAUUUAUGUAAGUUUCAUUAACAUUUAGAGGAGUGGUCUGGAAUAAGCUGCUGUUCUCUGACUUUAUGCCCUAAGGAGUUCUUCAGUUUUCGGCACUAGAAUCAAGUCUUUCUUAGUGAGACAAUGAUGAAAAGCUUUCUGCUAUGGGAAUUUCAAAAUCAUUCAUGUUAUAAGUGGCAAAUCCAAAUAAAAAAAGAAGACUCUAGGUUUAGAUGAAAUACUCUGCUCUAUACAUUUUCUAACCACAGAAACCAGGGAACAUUCCUUUUUGUAGUAUUUGUGAGUAAUGCAGGGAAUUUAGAGUCAUUUAUUUCCCUGCUAGCAUUUAAAUGAAUAAUUUUAGAUCAUUUUAAUAAUCUGAUAAUGUGAAGUGCUGUAAAUGGCAGAGUUUUCUGUUAUAUUUACUGAUAAUUGUUCACUUGGAUUGUCAAGAUCAUAGUGUUAGAACCUCAGAAGUUUUGUUAUUUAACUUUGUUUAGGACUAUAAAAAAAAUUCACUGAGACCAUGAGAAAAUUCUCUGGGAUGGAUGGAUGGAUGGAUGGAUAAAAUAAAAGGGUAAAUGGAAAACUUUCUAGAGAAAAAAAAUUCACAGCACUUUGCAAGCUCUUUCUAGCAAUGAUACUAUUAUAGAACUGGGUUAUGCACUUUACUUCUCUCAUAUUGUAGCUUAAAUUUUUUUCUUGUUCCACUGUCAGUGAGAUGAGAGAACAGAUUACUGUUCUGUAAGAGUAGUGAAAGUGUCUGUAUUUAAAAGUGGGCAGAAGUGAGUAAUAUUAUGUUCAAUGGUGUUGCAAACUAACCAGAAUUGAAUUACACUUAUUAAAAUAUUCAGAAAAAAAUUAUUUCUGUUAUUUACACAUGGAAUAUAAGGCAAAUUUCGGUUUCAAAUGUACAAAAUGUAAAGAAGUAAAAACAAAUUGGAGAGGGCAGGUGGGAAUAUUUUAAAAGCUGUGCAAGUGGAUUUAAAACUCUACUUAAGAGACUAGAGAUAAAUAUUCUGUUUGCUCACAAGUUAUAAAAGUAGCAAACCAUGAUGGUGCAGGCUUCUCCCAUCAGUAAGAAAAGAGAAAAAAAUUAUGGGUUCCCAGAAUCAAGAAGACAUUAAAAUUAAGUGUAGAAUGAACUUUCUUUCUUCCUGAACAAAAAUAUGGAAAGCUAAGGAUGAUAAUAUUUACUGCAGGACUUUUAAGCUCUAAGUGCAUAAAACAGAGGAUUAAGUGAAAAACCAGGUUCAUAAAAUGCAUUAGUGUUAUUUUAAAAGAAUGCCAUAGCAAAAGUCAUUAUUUUAUAAACUUUUCUUGCCAUAAAACACACAUCUAGUUAUGUACUGGUUAUAAAGUUAUAAUGAAGGUGAAUAACUUCUAGGGAUGAUGGAAGGUAAUUUUACUAUAUAUUUUUGAAUCACAGUUAUAUAUAUAUAUAUAUAUAUAUAUAUAUAUAUAUAUAUUUGUUAUCAGGAACAAAAUUAUACUCAGACAUGCUUCUUUCACAUUUUCCUUCCUUGUAAAACCUGGAUCACUUGCUACUGCAAUUAGUUGAUGCCAAUUUGAAAUUCUUCUUGGAAACUAUCAUAACUGUGUAAGCACCUUUAAUUUACUGCACAGAAAAACGGAAGCCAUUUAAGUUUCACGAAAAUUGAAAAGAAAGCAGUUCAGUCUCAGUAAAUGUAUGGUAAUAUGCUGAAUACAAUUUUUUUAAAGAAAUGUUAAUCUGAGAUUCCAUUAUUUCAUUUAAUAGUACAGAAAGCUUAUUAAGCUAAGAAUAAUUAUACUAAAUAGUAAACCACAGACAUAAACUUUAGCAGUGCUAUCUCGUUUAGCAGUGCUAUCUCGACGAUUACAAUUUAAUACCAGGAAUGUAUCAUGUAAUGAAUGCAUAUUGAAGAUAGUCCAUGUAAGGCUUCAUACUAUCAAUUACAAAACAAAAGUAGUCUCCCAUUUCACUCCUAUGUGGGAGGAGUUCUACAUCCAUCACAUUUUCCACAUUUACCAUCUGUGAUAAGUUCUAGCUCAAUAAACUUGAAGUUCAAUAAACUUGAAGCACAGAAAGUAAGCAACAAAGAACAAAAGAAAACAGCAAACUAAAUUGUAAAUUAUCAAAUAUACAACAUGCUUUACCAAAAAGAGGUGUUCAGAAAAUAUACUUUCUUUUUU
RNAcentral lists this long non-coding RNA (14074 nucleotides) under Homo sapiens (human). RNAcentral's name for it is "non-protein coding lnc-UTP23-11:1". The record is from RNAcentral. Lineage: Eukaryota; Metazoa; Chordata; Mammalia; Primates; Hominidae.